Molecule: long non-coding RNA, 585 nt
Organism: Podarcis raffonei (Aeolian wall lizard)
Lineage: Eukaryota; Metazoa; Chordata; Lepidosauria; Squamata; Lacertidae
Exons: 2
Source: RefSeq, a predicted model, not a curated record
GAACUGAGGCUUCUUUCCACUUCUGGGCCUAUUGUUAAAAAGGUGGGAGAAGGUAAGACGUAGAGUCUUGAAGCAGGAUCCUUCUUUAUGCACACAUCUUUCUCUCCUUCCCUUUUCUCUCAUCAUCCAAAAUUGUGUUCUGAUUGUGAUUCAUAUUGGAGUACCAUUUUCAUCUUUGCUAUGAUGCUCAUUGCUUUUAUCCACAGAUCCUUCCAUCUCCAUGGAACAGCUUUCUCUCUUUUGCUGGGUUUGCUACUCUAUGCAUCUCUUUACCCUGGCUUUUGAGACUUGAGGUGCAUAUUUUUAGGACCCACCUUCUGUGUGUGUAAGGCCAGAGAACCCUUUCCAAACAUGGAGAGUGCAGAAUGUGCCAGCUUGCGCUGAACUUUCCAGACUGGGCUGUAAUUGCCAAAUGCAAUGUCUUUUCCGUUUCGAGUCAGCAAGUCUGUUGUCACCUUGAAUCAAUGAAGAAGAAAACUUAACAGCAUUGUAGUUUUAUUUUACUUGGAAGGAGGAAAAACACAAACAACUAUUUUCAUCAGAUUCAUUCUUCUGCAUUUGAUUAAAAUUUACUUUUUAAAGCCA